This 1347-nucleotide long non-coding RNA is filed under the name Homo sapiens (human). RNAcentral describes it as "HSALNT0320673". Lineage: Eukaryota; Metazoa; Chordata; Mammalia; Primates; Hominidae. The record is from RNAcentral.
GGCAAUCAGGGAACUGCGUCUGCGGAUGGCUGCCCUCGGGGGACCAUUCGCCGGGGCGGCGCGCCGCUGGGGACUCGGCGUGAACCGGGCAGCGGGCGCGCGGUCUCGGAGCCCAGCCCCAGCGGCAGGCGCCAGGAGCCGCAAAGCUGGGCAGGGCUGGCGCCGCUUCCUCCCGGGCACCCGCCGCUCUGUCGCUCCGGGCGCCCAGGCUCACCGGGCAUUUCUAAAUUGUAAAAAGUUUUUAUCAGAUGGUAUGGGCUGAGCAACGCUGGGAUUGGAAAGUAAGACAAGAAACUAUCACCCACCCCCUCCCCCGCCCGCUGAUUUGAAUGCUUAUUAGAUGGACCCUGGAUUCUAGUCUUGGGGUACACGCCCACGUGUAAGAGUAAGCAACCACAGCUCUCUAGACACACUCAUGCCGCCAAUCUCAUGAAAUAAGAGGUAAGGACCUUGCAAUGAUUCCGUUUUCGUCACUCACCCCUUUUACAAUAAUUAGCUUGGCUUUGGGAAAAGUAAGUCCCAAAUCCCCAACACUGAGGGUAAGCUCCACAAAGGCAGGGGAUUUUGUGGGCCAAGUUCACUGAGGUGUCUCAAAACCUUAGCUCGGGACCUGGUACACAGGAGGAGCUCACUAGCGCCCCCGCCACCACGCUCUCCGCUUCCGGGCUGGCUGAGGCCAUGCGUGAUGCAGGCUCCAGAUGGUGCAUAGCAAACAGUGGCGAGAGCCCAGCCCUGGAAACGCAAACAAGGCUAAUGUUUCACCUGACUCUGCAGACCUCCACAGAGACAGCUUUCUCCAUGUUGCCCAGGCUGGUGUGCAUUCUUUGCUUCAGCCAGGAGAGCUCCCUUGGAACUGGGUGCUCCUGCUUGGGAAAAAGGUGGACAACAGGAUGGCUGCCCUACUGAACUCCUGUGGUUCAUAGACCAUGAUGUAGAGAAGGUUUCAUACACCUCUUCUUGGCUCUCGCAUAUUGUUACAAUCAUUGUAUUUAACCUAGAAUUAAGUUGAGAGAACUGUAUGGACCCAUCAUCCAACUUCAACAAUUUUCAACUAUGGUUAAUAUUAUUCGGUCUAUUGCCACACCAGAUUAUUAGUUCUUUCUCCCUGGAUUAUUUUGAUGCAGUUUCUGGACAUCAUAUUAUUUCAUCAGUUAAUAUUUUAGUAUACAUCUUUAGAAGAUAAAUAUCACUAAGUAUUUUAGUAUGUAUAUCUAACAAAACCUCCAUUUAUAAAACUACAAACCAAAUAUAUCAGACCUAGCCCCCCGAGUUUUUUAUAUUAUCAACUAUUCAGUGUUCAGAUUUUCCUGAUUGUCUCAUAAUAUUAAACAUUUGUUUUUGUUUGAA